UACGUAGGGUGCGAGCGUUGUCCGGAUUUAUUGGGCGUAAAGGGCUCGUAGGCGGCUUGUCGCGUCGGGAGUGAAAGCCCGCUGCUUAACGGCGGGUUUGCUUUCGGUACGGGCAGGCUGGAGUACGGCAGGGGAGACUGGAAUUUCCGGUGUAGCGGUGAAAUGCGUAGAUAUCGGAAGGAACACCAGUGGCGAAGGCGACUUCCUGGACAGAUACUGACACUGAGGCACGAAAGCAUGGGGAGCAAACAGG
Molecule: ribosomal RNA, 253 nt
Filed under: uncultured bacterium
Lineage: Bacteria
Description: partial 16S ribosomal RNA
Rfam family: Bacterial small subunit ribosomal RNA
Source: RNAcentral